This 405-nucleotide ribosomal RNA is filed under the name uncultured bacterium. Its description in RNAcentral is "partial 16S ribosomal RNA". It matches the Rfam family "Bacterial small subunit ribosomal RNA", at positions 28 to 526 of the family's 1533-position model. The record is from RNAcentral.
GACGAACGCUGGCGGCGUGCUUAACACAUGCAAGUCGAGCGGAGCGGCGAAAGGGUGAGUAACGCGUGAGUAACUGCCCCCCUAUCUGGGAUAACAGUUGGAAAAGGCUGCUAAUAACGGAGAGGGGGGGAUGCCUAGCGUCCUAUCAGCGUGUUGGUGGGGUAGUGGCCUACCAAGGCGACGACGGGUAGCCGGCCUGAGAGGGCGACCGGCCACGUUGGGCUGGGACACGGCCCAGACUCCUACGGGUGGCAGCAGUGGGGAAUAUUGGGCAAUGGGCGCAAGCCUGACCCAGCAACGCCGCGUGAAGGAAGACGGUCUUCGGAUUGUAGACUUCUUUAGACAGGGACGCGGUACCUGUAGAAUAAGCCACGGCUAACUACGUGCCAGCAGCCGCGGUAAUUC